Molecule: non-coding RNA, 29 nt
Filed under: Homo sapiens (human)
Lineage: Eukaryota; Metazoa; Chordata; Mammalia; Primates; Hominidae
Source: RNAcentral
UGACCCUUUGCCUUAUCACACAUGUGCUA